UUCUCUUUACUCCAAUGUACUUAUCUCCUACUGUUCUUUAUUAUUAUUUAUGUAUACUCCUAAAAUAAGUGAUAGUUUUCAAGCUAUAUUUAUUGGGAUGUUACAACAGGUUAUUCAUAUUUCAUUUGAUGGUUAAAGCCAAAUUGAAAGUUAAGUUGUGGUAAUUCUAAGGAUUCCCCCUGGGAAAAAGAGAGAUGUCUCCUACGUUACNCNUACCAUGUGGAAGUAGCGACGUAAUUGAAUAGAGUCAUUCAGUCUGAAUGCUAUAUGAAGAACAUAAGCCAGAUGAAGGAACGGGAAGACCUANGAUGUAGAAGAUCAUAACAUGAGCGACAAAUUUGGAUUCCUAUAUACCCACUUGUGCGGUACUUCAUAGUGUGAUAUAUAUAAGAUCCAUCUGUAUAGAUAUCAUCAUCUACAUCCAGA
Molecule: long non-coding RNA, 426 nt
Filed under: Vigna radiata
Lineage: Eukaryota; Viridiplantae; Streptophyta; Magnoliopsida; Fabales; Fabaceae
Description: long non-coding RNA (VRAD_LNC005547)
Source: RNAcentral